ACUUUAAUUGAAGAGUUUGAUCAUGGCUCAGAUUGAACGCUGGCGGCAGGCCUAACACAUGCAAGUCGAGCGGUAACAGAAAGAAAGCUUGCUUUCUUUGCUGACGAGCGGCGGACGGGUGAGUAAUGCCUGGGAAUAUACC
Molecule: ribosomal RNA, 142 nt
Filed under: Photobacterium phosphoreum
Lineage: Bacteria; Pseudomonadati; Pseudomonadota; Gammaproteobacteria; Vibrionales; Vibrionaceae
Also listed under: 2 other names
Description: partial 16S ribosomal RNA
Rfam family: Bacterial small subunit ribosomal RNA
Source: RNAcentral